AUAUCCCUACGGGGCGCAGCAGUGAGGAAUAUUGGUCAAUGGGCGGGAGCCUGAACCAGCCACGUCGCGUGAAGGAAGAAGGUACUUAGUAUUGUAAACUUCUUUUGUCGGGGAACAAAGGCGGAGACGCGUCUCCGGAUGAGUGUACCCGAAGAAAAAGCAUCGGCUAACUCCGUGCCAGCAGCCGCGGUAAUACGGAGGAUGCGAGCGUUAUCCGGAUUUAUUGGGUUUAAAGGGUGCGCAGGCGGGAGAUCAAGUCAGCGGGAAAUUCUCGGGGCUCAACCCCGG
RNAcentral lists this ribosomal RNA (288 nucleotides) under uncultured bacterium. RNAcentral describes it as "partial 16S ribosomal RNA". It matches the Rfam family "Bacterial small subunit ribosomal RNA", at positions 333 to 618 of the family's 1533-position model. The record is from RNAcentral.